RNAcentral lists this ribosomal RNA (541 nucleotides) under uncultured Bacteroidota bacterium. Its description in RNAcentral is "uncultured Bacteroidetes bacterium partial 16S ribosomal RNA". Lineage: Bacteria; Pseudomonadati; Bacteroidota. The record is from RNAcentral.
UCGUUGCCGACGUACUCCCCAGGUGGUUUACUUAACGCUUUCGCUUGGACGCGCAAAUCUACGAUUCACACGUCGAGUAAACAUCGUUUAGGGCGUGGACUACCAGGGUAUCUAAUCCUGUACCGCUCCCCACGCUUUCGUGCCUCAGUGUCAAUUAAGGUCUAGCUAGCUGCCUUCGCAAUUGGUAUUCUAUGGCAUAUCUAUGCAUUUCACCGCUACACGCCACAUUCUGCUAACCUCAACCUAAUUCAAGCUUGGCAGUAUCAAAGGCAAUUCUACGGUUAAGCCGCAGCCUUUCACCUCUGACUUAUCAAGCCACCUACGCACCCUUUAAACCCAGUGAAUCCGGAUAACGCUUGCACCCUCCGUAUUACCGCGGCUGCUGGCACGGAGUUAGCCGGUGCUUAUUCUUACGGUACCGUCAAGCCGCUACACGUAGCGGUGUUUCUUCCCGUAUAAAAGCAGUUUACAACCCAUAGGGCAGUCUUCCUGCACGCGGCAUGGCUGGGUCAGAGUUGCCUCCAUUGCCCAAUAUUCCUCA